GGCCUCGGUAGCUCAGCGGGUAGAGCGGGAGCCUUGUAAGCUCCAGGUCGUGGGUUCAAAUCCCACCCGAGGCUU
Molecule: transfer RNA, 75 nt
Filed under: archaeon HR06
Lineage: Archaea
Description: tRNA-Thr
Rfam family: tRNA
About the family: Transfer RNA (tRNA) molecules are approximately 80 nucleotides in length. Their secondary structure includes four short double-helical elements and three loops (D, anti-codon, and T loops).
Source: RNAcentral